GACGGAGGGUGCUAGCGUUGUUCGGAUUUACUGGGCGUAAAGGGCGCGUAGGCGGCCCUGUCAGUCGGGUGUGAAAGCCCGGGGCUCAACCCCGGAACGGCACCCGAGACGGCAGGGCUGGAGACCGGGAGAGGAGGGUGGAAUAGCCAGUGUAGAGGUGAAAUGCGCAGAUAUCAGGAAGAACACCAAUGGCGAAGGCAGCUCUCUGGGACGGUACUGACGCUGAGACGCGAAAGCGUGGGGAGCGAACAGG
This 253-nucleotide ribosomal RNA is filed under the name uncultured bacterium. Its description in RNAcentral is "partial 16S ribosomal RNA". It matches the Rfam family "Bacterial small subunit ribosomal RNA", at positions 524 to 776 of the family's 1533-position model. The record is from RNAcentral.